Long non-coding RNA from Cryptomeria japonica (Japanese cedar), 249 nucleotides. RefSeq lists it as uncharacterized. NCBI's taxonomy places the organism in Eukaryota, Viridiplantae, Streptophyta, Pinopsida, Cupressales, Cupressaceae. The transcript is spliced from 3 exons. The record is from RefSeq and is a predicted model, not a curated record.
ACUCAUCUAGUUAGCCCCUUGCACUCCUCAGUGAUAUGUACAGCUAGAGAGAGAUAUGCAGGCAAAACUGAUGUUGUUGAUAUGAUCACGGGAUAGGAUCAGACUAUACAACCUACUCCAGGUGAUACACAGUUAGCUCAUGUCACUCCUUCCUUGAGCUCUGAGCAUGUGCGUAGGAGAGAUUCUUUAGAUGCUGUUAGUAUACAGGACUCCCCCUCAGAUGGUUGCUCAGUUCGUAGCCGACAUGAU